Molecule: ribosomal RNA, 300 nt
Filed under: Mytilus coruscus
Lineage: Eukaryota; Metazoa; Mollusca; Bivalvia; Mytilida; Mytilidae
Description: partial 16S ribosomal RNA
Rfam family: Bacterial large subunit ribosomal RNA
Source: RNAcentral
UAUGAAAGGGUUAACGAGGAAGGUGCUGUGUCUAAAAACUUAGUUUAAACUAACUUAAAGGUGAAGAGGCCUUUAUAAGAAAGAAGGACGACAAGACCCUAUGAAGCUUUAUCUUAUUAGGGAUUUGAAAGAUCCUUAUACGAUUUUGAUGGGAGAUCAGUAAAAAUAAGUCUUUUACCAUUAUUUUUAUCUUACAAGUGUUUCCUAAUUUUAUAUGUGUGACUAGCUACUCUAGGGAUAACAGCGCAAUUUCUCCCGAAAGAUGGUGUUGGAGGGGAAGAUUGCGACCUCGAUGUUGGC